AUGUGUGUUACCCUGGGAGCAGUGGCCCUACCUUGCCAUGUCAUUGUGUGCAGACUCCUCCGUCAGGUGAAUGUUUCUGCUGGAACUGUGGAGUUCAGUCAGUGCUGGGACUGCCGAGUUCAGUUCAUGCUGGGAUUCCAAGGCACAACUGGAACUAACUUGCUGAAUGGAAAACUGGGUUUAUUUGCUUUCUUUAAUGAUAGUAAUUACUCAGGUGCUGGUGUCUUAUCCUGUAUUCUCUUCUGAUUUACUGACAUCAUUUGUCCUGAAGUUUUGAUGCUACUGAGCCCUCAUGUCCAUGGAGAAUAGAUGCUGGAGAUCUAUUUAAAAUAAUUGGCAAUGGAUGUCUUAGAAAUCCUGUCACUGUUUCCCAUAAAGACUGGGGGGUAAGCCUUGAGGCAAGGUUCAGAUAGUGCUUUUCAGGAAAAGCUUAUAUUUAGCAGCUUUUAUUGGAUUCCUUCUCUUUAAUCUGUGAAGAAUUUGAUUUAUGCCAGCAGCAGUUCCUUAUGAAAUCAUGAAAGUGAGUUUGUGAACUCACAAGAAGAGAGGCUGGCCUGACCAGCGAGGUGGCUUUAAGGGGAAUGUUACUUUCCCAUAUUUAGUAUGUUACAAAGGAUACAAACAAGUGUUCUCUUUAGCUUCUGGGGCUAGGUUUGUCUGCAGGCUUUUUUUUCCUCGAGGAGCAGCAUCCUCUCAAGCACUGUUCACAAGCCUGUAACUCCAAGCAGUCACUGAGAUGUGCAUGACCAGCUGCAGCAAGGCAGGCAACAAUGGAGCAUCCUUAUGGAUCCUUUAUCUUGUAGAUAGGUCUUGAAUCAUGAUAUGGCAGCUUCAGGUUGUUUACCUGAGCUCUGGUGAUUUAAGCUGUUACCAUUAAAUCUGUGAUAACGCCUUGAGGGGUGUGUUGAUUUGGCAUGGCCUGGUUUUUUGGUAAUGGCGGGGGAGGAAACCAUGGAGGGACACAGGGGUGGCUUCUGUGGGAAGCUGCUAGAAGCUCCCACCAUGUCCAGCAGGGCCAGUCUGAUGGCUCUGAGGAUGGACAUACUGCUGGCCCAAUUUAGAGAGGUUGGUAAGGCCUCUGGGAUGACACACAUCAGACGAAAAUCCAAUGGCACGUGCGCAGUUUUGCCUGAGGGGUGGGGAGG
This 1145-nucleotide long non-coding RNA is filed under the name Chloebia gouldiae (Gouldian finch). Its description in RNAcentral is "Erythrura gouldiae (Gouldian finch) lncRNA (ENSEGOG00005008832.1)". The record is from RNAcentral. Lineage: Eukaryota; Metazoa; Chordata; Aves; Passeriformes; Passeridae.